RNAcentral lists this long non-coding RNA (1078 nucleotides) under Helianthus annuus (common sunflower). RNAcentral's name for it is "hypothetical non coding rna". The record is from RNAcentral. Lineage: Eukaryota; Viridiplantae; Streptophyta; Magnoliopsida; Asterales; Asteraceae.
CCCCCCCCCCCCUUUUUCGGUAAAAUGAAAUCGGUAACCACUUGGGCAGUGGUUUACCGUUCGGUAAAACUGGUUUGCUGUCGGUGAACCUUUCCCACACCGUAUCCCCUUAGUUGAGAAUUAUAUUAUUGCUAUUUUGUUGAGGAUUAUAUUACUAAAUUAUUGUUGUUAGAAGCUUUUCAGAAAAUAGAAAACAAUGUUUGGCAAACGGGUCAGAUUAGGAUAGAUUUUUAGAGCACAAACACUGAUUCAAUCAUAUAAACAUUCUUACAUUUUGCGUUUAAUAAUCGUUUUUAUAUUAUCAUAUCAACUCAUAAACUAGUUUUAUGCCCGUUCUAGGUUUCCCAAAAUAAUAAUAAAUAAACUUACAAACUUAUUGGACACUGACCAACACAACAAAAAUAGUUUACUUCGAAUAUAAAAAAACAUGAGCGAGAACUACUGCUUAAAUCGCUUCGGCUUCUUCUGGAACGCCUCCUACAAUUUUCAAAGUUUCAAAUCUCAAGAUUAUAACGUCUUACAACACCUUUCGACAUAAAAUAAGUUUCCUCUUCAAUUGCUUGUGCCUCAACCUCCUUUUAAGAGCUCGGCUUGGGUGCGAUGUUCAAUGAGCAUGUUAAACAAAUUAAAAGAAAACAUUUUCAAAAAAUCGACCCACUUAGUGAUCAUCAUUCAUUCUUUCAGAAGUUUUGUUACAUUUCAAACUUUGUGGCAUUCUAGUCAAAGUCAAAAAAUAUGAAUGUAAAAAAUAAAGGCGUUUUGUUAAAAAAGAAAAAUCAAACUGUUGUGAAGCAAAAAGAAAACAAAAUAUCCAUCGAUUAAAAAAACAGAAAAUAGGCAUGUGAAUAAAUCGAUGGUAAAUACUAAAUAGCCAUGUCGCAAACAUACAAACUAUUCAAUUGGCUUUAACAAACUAUUGUUUGAAAUUUGAAUCAAUCGUGGAGAUGAAAUAUAUGUUUCGCGUUCGAAGUAGACUAGAUUGGUAAUUGGCAAUGUCGAUUCAAUGGGAUGGCGAUUCAGUUUAGGAACAGGGGCAGAGAAUUUGGGAGGAAGUAUGCCUUUUUUUUUUUUUUUAAUA